UUAUAACGAUGAUUGUAGGUUGUUCCGUAUCGAUUCCUGAUUCUAAAUUGAUGUGGGGUCAAGACGGCAGCUCAAUGGUUCUCUGGUGAGCGGCCGUUAUGUCCCUUUAUUUCUAUGAUUUUUCAUUCGUAAGCGAGAAGAGAUAUCAAUCCACUUCCAAAGGAUAAUUUAUAGAGAAAAGUCUAAUUUUUUUUUGGUGAAAUUUAUUUUUUUACAUUUGAAUCCAAAAUGGCGGAAAAAAUUGGUCAAAGUCAAAAAAUAUUUUUUUCUCAAAGGAAAAUCUCUGAAACCGAUAGAAAGACUGUAAAUUCGCAAAAACUUUCUUCUAAAGGUUUAUAGAGAAUUUAAAGAGCUACGUUUUCGUUCCUCAAUAAUAACAUUUC
Long non-coding RNA from Bradysia coprophila, 383 nucleotides. The record is from RefSeq and is a predicted model, not a curated record. NCBI's taxonomy places the organism in Eukaryota, Metazoa, Arthropoda, Insecta, Diptera, Sciaridae.